Molecule: ribosomal RNA, 1535 nt
Filed under: Brevibacterium sp. XM4083
Lineage: Bacteria; Bacillati; Actinomycetota; Actinomycetes; Micrococcales; Brevibacteriaceae
Description: bacterial SSU rRNA
Rfam family: Bacterial small subunit ribosomal RNA
Source: RNAcentral
UUUAUGGAGAGUUUGAUCCUGGCUCAGGACGAACGCUGGCUGCGUGCUUAACACAUGCAAGUCGAACGCUGAAGCCCCAGCUUGCUGGGGUGGAUGAGUGGCGAACGGGUGAGUAACACGUGAGUAACCUGCCCCUGACUUCGGGAUAAGCCCGGGAAACUGGGUCUAAUACCGGAUACGACCUGCUCUCGCAUGAGAGUGGGUGGAAAGUUUUUUCGGUUGGGGAUGGGCUCGCGGCCUAUCAGUUUGUUGGUGAGGUAAUGGCUCACCAAGACGACGACGGGUAGCCGGCCUGAGAGGGCGACCGGCCACACUGGGACUGAGACACGGCCCAGACUCCUACGGGAGGCAGCAGUGGGGAAUAUUGCACAAUGGGGGAAACCCUGAUGCAGCGACGCAGCGUGCGGGAUGACGGCCUUCGGGUUGUAAACCGCUUUCAGCAGGGAAGAAGCGAGAGUGACGGUACCUGCAGAAGAAGUACCGGCUAACUACGUGCCAGCAGCCGCGGUAAUACGUAGGGUACGAGCGUUGUCCGGAAUUAUUGGGCGUAAAGAGCUCGUAGGUGGUUGGUCACGUCUGCUGUGGAAACGCAACGCUUAACGUUGCGCGUGCAGUGGGUACGGGCUGACUAGAGUGCAGUAGGGGAGUCUGGAAUUCCUGGUGUAGCGGUGAAAUGCGCAGAUAUCAGGAGGAACACCGGUGGCGAAGGCGGGACUCUGGGCUGUAACUGACACUGAGGAGCGAAAGCAUGGGGAGCGAACAGGAUUAGAUACCCUGGUAGUCCAUGCCGUAAACGUUGGGCACUAGGUGUGGGGGGCAUUCCACGUUCUCCGCGCCGUAGCUAACGCAUUAAGUGCCCCGCCUGGGGAGUACGGUCGCAAGGCUAAAACUCAAAGGAAUUGACGGGGGCCCGCACAAGCGGCGGAGCAUGCGGAUUAAUUCGAUGCAACGCGAAGAACCUUACCAAGGCUUGACAUACACCAGACCGGCCUGGAAACAGGUCUUCCCCUUUGGGGUUGGUGUACAGGUGGUGCAUGGUUGUCGUCAGCUCGUGUCGUGAGAUGUUGGGUUAAGUCCCGCAACGAGCGCAACCCUCGUUCUAUGUUGCCAGCACGUGAUGGUGGGAACUCAUAGGAGACUGCCGGGGUCAACUCGGAGGAAGGUGGGGAUGACGUCAAAUCAUCAUGCCCUUUAUGUCUUGGGCUUCACGCAUGCUACAAUGGCUGGUACAAAGAGAAGCGAGCCCGUGAGGGUCAGCGAAUCCCUUAAAGCCAGUCUCAGUUCGGAUCGUAGUCUGCAAUUCGACUACGUGAAGUCGGAGUCGCUAGUAAUCGCAGAUCAGCAACGCUGCGGUGAAUACGUUCCCGGGCCUUGUACACACCGCCCGUCAAGUCACGAAAGUCGGUAACACCCGAAGCCGGUGGCCUAACCCCGUAUGGGGAGGGGGCCGUCUAAGGUGGGACUGGUGAUUGGGACUAAGUCGUAACAAGGUAGCCGUACCGGAAGGUGCGGCUGGAUCACCUCCUUUCUAAGGA